This 3956-nucleotide unclassified non-coding RNA is filed under the name Hevea brasiliensis (rubber tree). Lineage: Eukaryota; Viridiplantae; Streptophyta; Magnoliopsida; Malpighiales; Euphorbiaceae. The record is from RNAcentral.
AAAAAAAAAAAAAAAGAAGAAAAGUUAGCAUUUUCUAUUUAUGCAUGGGACAUGUAACUGCUGCCUUUAACGGUUAACACAUUUCAUGCCUUUACAAUUUUUUAUUCCUUAUUAUAAUAUUUGAGUAAUUAUAUGGAUCUGGUUGACCCAUCAUAUGUGACCCGGGCCAUACUACUUUCACUUGGCCUUUUUGUUUUUUGGGUGGCGAUGGAAUGGCAGUGAUUCUUUCUACUCCAGGUCAAAACCAGGAUUUUCUGGCAUUUUCAGACGGCACAAAUUAGAUACUGGGUUUUCACCUUUUACUCCCUACUUAAUCUAACGUUCAAGCAGCAUGUAGUUGUGCAACUUAUGCUUCAUAAUUAUGGUCGAGGACAUACAUAUUUAAUGUAAUUGAUUGUUUAGAGAUGAACUUUUAAGAAUUAGAGAGAGGAUUUAAGAAUUGUCUGAUAUUGAGCUCUAGUUAAUUGGGGAAGUGCUGACAUGUGAGUCUAGAAUGAAAAUAUAGAUGGAAUAUGGUGGUUGUUAUUUCAUUGGAUUCCAAGUCAAAAAGGCAUUAGUGGAUAUGUGGAGAGCGCGAUUCUAAUGCUGGUUUCUCUGUUGUGGUAAUGUACAUUUUGGUUCAUAGGUGGUUGCCAUGUUGAGGGAGUUUUUUGAACUAGAUCAGUUAUCUUUGUGGGGGCUUAUGCAAUUCAUAGACUUCUGAUUGGUGGAUAUCUUUCAGGGGCAACUUGUGAUAAGAAAAAAUUUUCUUUAUGCCUAACCUUUGUAUUUGACUUCUUUCUACUGCUGUUUGACCUGAGAGCAUUAAUCAUGGACUUUGUUUUGGUUGAAAACCUGCACAAAUUGGCAGUCGACAUUGUCAAUCAGGUUCCUUCAUACUGAUGAUGAUUGAAGUAUUGUAUUUUAUUCAUCUGUAUUUUUGUUGUUAGUAUAUUUCUUGUUGACCUGGAGGAUAGGGCUACAAUUUCACAAAUCUUCACUGUUGCCAAAAGUAGCACAUUCUCUUGUUGCUUAUUAGCUGUUGUCAAGAUGCCCAAAUUUGUUAGUGUUGACACUGCGGUGAUGGUCUUCUUUGUUAAAUUUUUGAAAUUAAAGUUCUUGCAAAAUUGUAUUCACUAGCUAGUCUGCUUUAUCUGGUGUUGUUUGUCAUGCUGAUUCUCUUUGAUUGCAGAGUGAUGUGUUUUUAAUUUGCUCAAAUGCAAUGAAAUACAAUUCACCAGAGACCAUAUAUCAUAAGCAGGUGUACUGCUUUUGGUCUUAUUAUUUCUUCUUAACUCUGUAGUUUAUCUUCCACCUUACUGGCUAAUCUUAUUAUCUGAUUAUUUUGGAAAGGCACGAUCCAUUCAAGAGCUGGCAAGGAAGAAGUUCCAGAAGUUAAGGAUCGACUUAGAAUGCUCUGAGAAGGUGCUUAAGUCAGAACAGAAAGCAAAAGCCAACCUCUCGGCAAAAAAGCAAAUGAAGAAACCUUUGAACCGGACUGUGCAGGAACCUGUAGGCUCUGAUUUUUCCUCAGGUGCCACUCUUGCCACUACUGGUGAUCUCCAGAAUGGUUUAAUUCCUGCCCAAGCUAGUGGCUGUGACAGACCUAGUAAUAUUGAUGUGCCUAUAGAGGGUACCUCUUCCCUGGUUGAUAAUACUCUGGAGAAAGCAGAAGAACUAUCAUCAGGGAAGGGUAUCCUAUCCAAAUUUGGGAGGAAGUCAUCCAUGCUUGAUGAAAACCGCCGUGCUACUUAUAACAUAUCAAAUCAACCUGUGGCCAGAUCAGAAUCUAUUUUUACAACAUUUGAGGGUGAAAUCAAACAGCUGGUUGCUGUUGGGCUUCAUGCAGAUUAUUCCUACGCUAGGAGCUUGGCUUUUUUCUCUGCGAUGCUUGGACCUGUAGCAUGGGAAGUUGCCUCUCGGAGGAUUGAGCAAGCACUACCCCCAGGGUGUAAGUUCGGUCGUGGGUGGGUUGGAGAAUAUGAGCCACUGCCAACACCAGUAUUAAUGCUUGAAACACGUGCACAGAAACAAUCUACUUUGUUUACAAAGUUACAAGGUGCUGCUGAUGCAGUAAAGAGUGAUUCAACUUCAAGGCCCCCAAUUCCUUCUAAGGAAAAUCAUGCUAGAGCACCGACACCAGAAGGAAAACAAUGUUUGCUUCGUCCAACUUGUGGGCCUGUUUCAGAAGGAAGGCCAACCGUGUUUUCUGCUGCUGAAUCGAAACCUAGUGCCCCUUUCACUGUUAAUCCCGCUUAUCAGCAGCAAAACCUUCCACACAGGACUUUUUCUGAGGCUCAGAAUAAGGCUUCAAAACCAGUUGAACUCAACUUGCCCCCAUCAAACUAUCAAGGUGAUGCUGAUGUUGCAGAAAAGCAUCUUCCUGAUAAUUCAGAAAUGGCAAGUCCAAAGCCAAGGGAGAUGCCAAGGACAGUGGGUCUUGUGCAGUCAGUGCGUUCUAAGCCGCCAGAUAAUAAUGGAUUUGGUUCUGGUGGGCUAACUAAUGGAAAAGUUGUUAGUUCCUUGAAUAAUAGAUCUUCUGAUGCUGUUCCCAAUCAAAUGGCCAGAGCACCAACAUUCUUUGCACCAGGACAGGAACAUGCUUUUAAUGAUCCAGUUGAAGCGAUGAGAAUAUCAGCUGAAAGGGCUCAAAAACCGCAGAAACCUUCAAGUCAAUCCUCAGUUGAUAAUAUAUCACCUGUUAUACCAUCACUUCCACCUAUAAGAAACGAUUCUAGCAAUGCUGCUGCUGUUGCAGCCCGUGCAUGGAUGUCCAUAGGUUCUGGGGGUCUUAAAGUGCCGAUUGAAAAUUCCACCGCUCCCAAAUAUCAGAUCUCUGCGGAGUCAUUAUACAACCCAACUCGGCAAAUGCAUCCCCAACUUCCUCGAGUUCAGGGGCAGUUUCCUCUUCCUGCAGCGAUGCAAUUUCAGGCUGAGAAGAAUAAUGUUCCAUUUCAGGCAUUUAUGCAGCCACCUGUUCAUGUAGGAACUGGACAGUUUCAAAACAGACCUAUGGUCUUCCCUCAAUUUGUAGCAGCUGACUUGUCUAGGCUUCAGAUGCAAUCCCCAUGGCGAGGGUUAAGUCCACAUUCUCAUCCGAAGCAAAAACAAGAGACACUUCCUCCUGACUUGAAUAUUGGUUUCCAGUCUCCAGGAUCUCCAGUGAAACAGUCUUCAGGUGUCAUGGUUGACUCGCAGCAGCCGGACUUGGCAUUGCAACUCUGAGCAUGGAUGGGCUUUUUAGAGGAUUUGGUGAAUCCCAAAGAUUGCUUAUGCUGAGGUGAUAUUGGUUACGUACUCGAGAACUUAAAAUUUUUCUACCUGUCACACAGCUGUAUAAAAUGUCAGAACGCUGCUAGUUUCUUGAUGUGAUAGAGAGGUCUGGCCUACCUAAUAUGGUGUGAGGAUUUUAACACGGGUCUUGAAUUCGGAAGAUGGAAAUCCUGGAUUUAGUGAUUGGCUGGGUUCUGUCUGUCUGUACAAAGAAGGGAUUUUUGCAGUUGCAAUAAGGUGAAAUGACAACUGGAGAUUCGUGGGAAGAUAAAUUUUUAAUAGAGCUGUAGAUGUUUGGUCUUCUUCCAUUGAAGAUUACUUACUGGCCUAAAACAGUGAUUAGUUUAUAUAGCAUGGAAAGAGUUAGUACAAGGAUUCUUGAUCCCUAGGAAUAUCAGCUAUGGAUCAUAAAUCAAAUGAAUCAUACGUUAAGUUUCAGUUGCAGCUAUUCCCUUGUACAUUAGAUUCUGGCGGAUGAGAAUUGAGAAGUAGUUGCUUAGAUUCUAGUCAUCCUUGAUUCCUUCAAUAUGAAUGCAUUCAUAAUUUCCCUUCUUUUUAGAGCACCUAGUUCUCUCUCAUCUCAGAAGGAAUAAUGUUUUGUUGGUUUCUCUCUAUCUUCCUUUAUUAUUUCUGUCGUUGUGAUCGAUAAUGAAUAUUUCGAGCUUCCAUAGUGAAAAAUAUUUAAAAGAAAAGAUAUCUAUGAA